UACGUAGGUCCCGAGCGUUGUCCGGAUUUAGUAGGCGUAAAGCGAGCGCAGGUGGUUUAUUAAGUCUGGUGUAAAAGGCAGUGGCUCAACCAUUGUAUGCAUUGGAAACUGGUAGACUUGAGUGCAGGAGAGGAGAGUGGAAUUCCAUGUGUAGCGGUGAAAUGCGUAGAUAUAUGGAGGAACACCGGUGGCGAAAGCGGCUCUCUGGCCUGUAACUGACACUGAGGCUCGAAAGCGUGGGGAGCAAACAGG
This 252-nucleotide ribosomal RNA is filed under the name uncultured bacterium. Its description in RNAcentral is "partial 16S ribosomal RNA". It matches the Rfam family "Bacterial small subunit ribosomal RNA", at positions 524 to 776 of the family's 1533-position model. The record is from RNAcentral.